GACGAACGCUGGCGGUGUGCUUAACACAUGCAAGUCGAACGGUAAGGCCCUUCGGGGUACACGAGUGGCGAACGGGUGAGUAACACGUGGGUGAUCUGCCCUGCACUUCGGGAUAAGCCUGGGAAACUGGGUCUGAUACCGGAUAGGACCACUGCCUGCAUGGGUGGUGGUGGAAAGCUUUUGCGGUGUGGGAUGGGCCCGCGGCCUAUCAGCCUGUUGGUGGGGUGAUGGCCUACCAAGGCGACGAGGGGUAGCCGGCCGGAGAGGGUGACCGGCCACACUGGGACUGAGAUACGGCCCAGACUCCUACGGGAGGCAGCAGUGGGGAAUAUUGCACAAUGGGCGCAAGCCUGAUGCAGCGACGCCGCGUGAGGGAUGACGGCCUUCGGGUUGUAAACCUCUUUCAGCACCGACGAAGCGCAAGUGACGGUAGGUGCAGAAGAAGGACCGGCCAACUACGUGCCAGCCGCCGCGGUAA
RNAcentral lists this ribosomal RNA (478 nucleotides) under uncultured bacterium. Its description in RNAcentral is "partial 16S ribosomal RNA". It matches the Rfam family "Bacterial small subunit ribosomal RNA", at positions 28 to 523 of the family's 1533-position model. The record is from RNAcentral.